This 253-nucleotide ribosomal RNA is filed under the name uncultured bacterium. RNAcentral describes it as "partial 16S ribosomal RNA". It matches the Rfam family "Bacterial small subunit ribosomal RNA", at positions 524 to 776 of the family's 1533-position model. The record is from RNAcentral.
UACAGAGGUCCCGAGCGUUGUUCGGAUUCACUGGGCGUAAAGGGUGCGCAGGUGGGCUGGUAAGUUUGAUGUGAAAGCCCCGGGCUUAACCCGGGAAUGGCAUUGAAUACUACUGGUCUGGAGGAUUGGAGGGGGGACUGGAAUUCUUGGUGUAGCAGUGAAAUGCGUAGAUAUCAAGAGGAACACCAGUGGCGAAGGCGAGUCCCUGGACAAUUCCUGACACUGAGGCACGAAAGCCAAGGGAGCAAACAGG